This 30-nucleotide non-coding RNA is filed under the name Mus musculus (house mouse). The record is from RNAcentral. Lineage: Eukaryota; Metazoa; Chordata; Mammalia; Rodentia; Muridae.
UGAGCAAAAGAAGUCAGACAUAAAAGGGCU